Molecule: ribosomal RNA, 497 nt
Filed under: uncultured bacterium
Lineage: Bacteria
Description: partial 16S ribosomal RNA
Rfam family: Bacterial small subunit ribosomal RNA
Source: RNAcentral
GAUGAACGCUGGCGGCGUGCUUAACACAUGCAAGUCGAACGAAGCACUUUACUUGAUUUCCUUCGGGACUGAUUAUUUUGUGACUGAGUGGCGGACGGGUGAGUAACGCGUGGGUAACCUGCCUUGUACAGGGGGAUAACAGUUGGAAACGGCUGCUAAUACCGCAUAAGCGCACGGCAUCGCAUGAUGCAGUGUGAAAAACUCCGGUGGUAUAAGAUGGACCCGCGUUGGAUUAGCUAGUUGGUGAGGUAACGGCCCGCCAAGGCGACGAUCCAUAUCCGACCUGAGAGGGUGACCGGCGACAUUGGGACUGAGACACGGCCCAAACUCCUACGGGAGGAAGCAGUGGGGAAUAUUGCACAAUGGGCGAAAGCCUGAUGCAGCGACGCCGCGUGAGCGAAGAAGUAUCUCGGUAUGUAAAGCUCUAUCAGCAGGGAAGAUAAUGACGGUACCUGACUAAGAAGCACCGGCUAAAUACGUGCCAGCAGCCGCCGUAA